AGAGUUUGAUCAUGGCUCAGAGCGAACGCUGGCGGCAGGCCUAACACAUGCAAGUCGAGCGCCCAGCAAUGGGAGCGGCAGACGGGAUAGUAACACGUGGGAACGUACCCUUCAGUUCGGAACAACCCAGGGAAACUUGGGCUAAUACCGAAUACGUCCGUAAGGAGAAAGAUUUAUCGCUGAAGGAUCGGCCCGCGUCUGAUUAGCUAGUUGGUGAGGUAACGGCUCACCAAGGCGACGAUCAGUAGCUGGUCUGAGAGGAUGAUCAGCAUCACUGGGACUGAGACACGGCCCAGACUCCUACGGGAGGCAGCAGUGGGGAAUAUUGGACAAUGGGCGCAAGCCUGAUCCAGCCAUGCCGCGUGGAUGAUGAAGGCCCUAGGGUUGUAAAGUCCUUUCGACGGGGAAGAUAAUGACGGUACCCGUAGAAGAAGCCCCGGCUAACUUCGUGCGCAGCCGCGGUAAUACGAAGGGGGCUAGCGUUGCUCGGAAUCACUGGGCGUAAAGCGCACGUAGGCGGACUCUUAAGUCGGUGGUGAAAUCCUGGAGCUCAACUCCAGAACUGCCUUCGAUACUGAGAGUCUCGAGUCCGGGAGAGGUGAGUGGAACUGCGAGUGUAGAGGUGAAAUUCGUAGAUAUUGGGAAGAACACCGGUGGCGAAGGCGGCGACCUGGUCCGAGACUGACGCUGAGGCGCGAAAGCGUGGGGAGCAAACAGGAUUAGAUACCCUAGUAGUCC
Molecule: ribosomal RNA, 738 nt
Filed under: uncultured bacterium
Lineage: Bacteria
Description: bacterial SSU rRNA
Rfam family: Bacterial small subunit ribosomal RNA
Source: RNAcentral